This 1247-nucleotide ribosomal RNA is filed under the name Aster yellows phytoplasma. RNAcentral's name for it is "bacterial SSU rRNA". It matches the Rfam family "Bacterial small subunit ribosomal RNA", at positions 153 to 1400 of the family's 1533-position model. The record is from RNAcentral. Lineage: Bacteria; Bacillati; Mycoplasmatota; Mollicutes; Acholeplasmatales; Acholeplasmataceae.
GAAACGACUGCUAAGACUGGAUAGCAGACAAGAAGGCAUCUUCUUGUUUUUAAAAGACCUAUUAAUAGGUAUGCUUAGGGAGGAGCUUGCGUCACAUUAGUUAGUUGGUGGGGUAAAGGCCUACCAAGACUAUGAUGUGUAGCCGGGCUGAGAGGUUGAACGGCCACAUUGGGACUGAGACACGGCCCAAACUCCUACGGGAGGCAGCAGUAGGGAAUUUUCGGCAAUGGAGGAAACUCUGACCGAGCAACGCCGCGUGAACGAUGAAGUAUUUCGGUACGUAAAGUUCUUUUAUUAGGGAAGAAUAAAUGAUGGAAAAAUCAUUCUGACGGUACCUAAUGAAUAAGCCCCGGCUAACUAUGUGCCAGCAGCCGCGGUAAUACAUAGGGGGCAAGCGUUAUCCGGAAUUAUUGGGCGUAAAGGGUGCGUAGGCUGUUAAAUAAGUUUAUGGUCUAAGUGCAAUGCUCAACAUUGUGAUGCUAUAAAAACUGUUUAGCUAGAGUAAGAUAGAGGCAAGUGGAAUUCCAUGUGUAGUGGUAAAAUGCGUAAAUAUAUGGAGGAACACCAGUAGCGAAGGCGGCUUGCUGGGUCUUUACUGACGCUGAGGCACGAAAGCGUGGGGAGCAAACAGGAUUAGAUACCCUGGUAGUCCACGCCGUAAACGAUGAGUACUAAACGUUGGGUAAAACCAGUGUUGAAGUUAACACAUUAAGUACUCCGCCUGAGUAGUACGUACGCAAGUAUGAAACUUAAAGGAAUUGACGGGACUCCGCACAAGCGGUGGAUCAUGUUGUUUAAUUCGAAGGUACCCGAAAAACCUCACCAGGUCUUGACAUGCUUCUGCAAAGCUGUAGAAACACAGUGGAGGUUAUCAGUUGCACAGGUGGUGCAUGGUUGUCGUCAGCUCGUGUCGUGAGAUGUUGGGUUAAGUCCCGCAACGAGCGCAACCCUUAUUGUUAGUUGCCAGCACGUAAUGGUGGGGACUUUAGCAAGACUGCCAGUGAUAAAUUGGAGGAAGGUGGGGACGACGUCAAAUCAUCAUGCCCCUUAUGACCUGGGCUACAAACGUGAUACAAUGGCUGUUACAAAGGGUAGCUGAAACGCAAGUUUUUGGCGAAUCUCAAAAAAACAGUCUCAGUUCGGAUUGAAGUCUGCAACUCGACUUCAUGAAGUUGGAAUCGCUAGUAAUCGCGAAUCAGCAUGUCGCGGUGAAUACGUUCUCGGGGUUUGUACACACCGCCCGUCAA